UUGUAGGGGAAUUUACAGUUAAAACCCAAGGACCAGAUAUGAUGAAUGAAGACCAGGAGUCAGAGAUGCGUUCAAUUAAAGAAAAAUUUACUGAAGAACAUGGUUUGCAGUUUCAUCAGCAGAAGUCAGCUUCAGUACUCUCGAUGGAGUUCGUAGGCCGCUCUGCGUACAACUCAAAAUCACCAACAAUUAUACUCUUGACAGAGAACUAAUUGCGUCAAUGCAUAGGUCAGCAAAAUUCUGAUUGGUUCCAAAACCUAGAUAAACUUAGACAGUUUCCACAUAUGGACACAAGCUUGAAGCAUAUCUUCUGACGACUAUUCUGGUGACAAGUCGCUCCAAAGACGUAUAUCUGAUACGCUGGACAUCGGCAGUUGAACGUUUGUCCUGGGACUAUCUGAGCUUUUCCCUGUACAGACAGAUACUAACACACAUACGCAGAGAACUUAUCAGAACUUCAAGGCUGCCUAGCCCUAGCUAGAAUUUUAUCAGUAUGGUUUGUUACACACACACUAUGAAGUCAUCAUCUUAGAGAGUAGAAGUACAGCAUAAAGCAGGAUUUUUUAAUAUCUCAUAAGCGCACAUAAGGUUACACAUUUUACUCUUGCCAUAACUUGAUUAAUAGUCAAACAAGAAAUAACGUAAUAAUAUAAUUAAUAUCUAUAUGAAGGAUAUAGCAACUCAGCAUCCACUCCUUCAGUGUUGAAACAGCAAUUAGAAAUUAUAACAAAAAUACAACAGCAACACAAAAAUAGCAGCAAAGGUGAGGGAAGGUGAGGGUCUUAUUCUAGUAACAAAAACAAAUUCAAAGCAGAUUAGAGUUUCUGGGUGUUUUUGUCCAACAUGUAGCAGAGAGUGGGGCACAACAUAACACUUCAUUUUUAUUCACAUAAAUUUCACACCUGUCUAAUACAAAAUAUGUGGUCUUGUUUAAUAAAUAGUUUUUUUUGUUUGUUUGUUUGUUUUUUUUACCCCAAAAGAAUGGUAGGGAAAUGCCCCGUAGGUGGAGCACAUUGUAACAACUGAGGGGUUAUAUUGUAACAUGACCAUAUGACAGCUUAAGAUGUUGUCUGAUCUAAUGAAAAAGAUAUAAAAGACAAAAAAAAAAAAAAAAAAAUUAACAAAGCCUUUUUUUAAAAAAAAAGAAAAGAUUUUAAAUUAAACAAAUUUUGCUUGGGAUGGCCCUGAUGUUUUGACCCCCUCAUCAGAACACUCUGUUUGAACAGGCAUGGCAGAUUAUAGACUCAGAAGUAAACGCCCACUGCUAUGAUUGGCUAACAGUUGCGUGAGUUUGACAGUCUACAUCCUUCAUAAAUAUAUGCUGCUGUGAUUUAGGUUAAAAACGCAUAAAUACUCAUUACAUAUCAAAUGAUCUGUAAUAACAGACAAAACAAUAGUGAGCACAUAAUAAAAACAGUUCUUUACAUUUGUGUGGUGCCACAUUACUAUCAAAUUCAAAAUAGUCUCCAGAGCAUCGUCUUUUAGUUUCAAUCUUUCUGAAAAUCCUGCACUGAAUUGUGCCUUGUUUGUAAACGAAUCUGCAGUAAAAUGAAGUGAACAAAGGACCAAGUUCUUACUGACAAGUUCAUCCACUUUUUCCUAAUUUUGGGAUCAGAAGGAAGGCAAUGCAAAGGCUGUGUUUUCCACAACUUGGCACUGCACAGUGUCUUGUUUUCUUCUGAACAUUUUUAUCGAUUGAUUUCUGUGUAGACCUGCGUUUGCCUCUCUCGUUAUUUACACUAUGCGUGAGUCGGUGGGCGGGGCUAAACAGGCAGUGAUGUAGAGGCAGGCAUUGAUGAUCUUCUGCGGAGGCGGGGUUUAGCCACACUAUUACGUCAUAAAGUGGCACAUUCCACAAGCUGUCGUUUUGGCAGAUUGGCUUCAAUAUAAGCAGUUUUUAGACUAACAAAAGAGUUUUGAAACUCACAGGAUGUGACCUCUUGUAUGUCAAAAUAUCAAGGGAAUUUUGAUUUCUCAGGUCAUGACCCCUUUAAGUUAUUUAUCAAAAUGUCUAGGUUUUUAUCCUUCAACAGUACUCCAACUUUAAUUGAGACCACAGUCAAGGGGUGUAAUGUUAUGUUUGGAAUUAAGC
Long non-coding RNA from Cyprinus carpio carpio, 2092 nucleotides. NCBI's taxonomy places the organism in Eukaryota, Metazoa, Chordata, Actinopteri, Cypriniformes, Cyprinidae. The record is from Ensembl.